RNA transcript from Fragaria vesca subsp. vesca, 3145 nucleotides. RefSeq lists it as uncharacterized. The transcript has 3 exons. The record is from RefSeq and is a predicted model, not a curated record. Lineage: Eukaryota; Viridiplantae; Streptophyta; Magnoliopsida; Rosales; Rosaceae.
ACAAACUCUUUCUUCUCUCCUUAUCCCUCUUUCUCACACUCUCUCCCCCGAUAUCUCUUUCUCCUCCCUUAGAUUGCCAGCGCCGGAGACUUCAUCUCCGGCCACCGCCUCUUAUCACCACCCACACCAAACAACACCGAGCCUAACCUGUUCAAAGCCCAACCCGUUUGACGGUAGGAAACGAAUCUAGCCACCUUAUGCGACCACCCAAGCCCGGCUGCCUUUGCCCAGCCAAAGCUCACUUUCGGUCAUCUUCCUCCCUCAUUGCCGUCACCAUCGAGCCCAGAGGAGGCCAGGCGUUACAACCCAGGCCCCUCGACUUCCAACGACCACCAUGGGUGAGAUCAACAUCGCCUCCAACGCCUAGAACGCCGCUGCACGUGCCGUCGCCAGCUAAGGUAUAUGGACAACAAGCUUCAAAGUAAGUUCACAAUGUUCUCUGUUCAUUUCAAUUUGUUGUUCACAAUGAUCUCUGCUCUUUUCAGUUUGCUUAUCCUCAUUGUUCAAUUUAUUCAUAUCAUAAAGUUUGGACUGGGCAUUAUCUUCAAAUUAGAUUGUAAUCUUUUCAUUAUUUGUUUUGAUGUUGCAGUAAGUCUAUUAUCAAUUCUGUUUCGUGUUGUUUCCAGACUUUUUGUUAAUUGAAGUUUGAUGGAUUUUGUUUUGUCAUUUAUGGUUUAGUCCAUUAAUCAGGAGUACUAAUUAUAUCUACAUGAAAGUUGUGUUUUAAUAUACGUAGUAGUCUUGUAUCUGGUUUUCAAAAGAUUAAAGGGUGUAUUUGUUUGAACUGCCUCUAUAGUGGUUCUGAAUGUUCACAAUUCUAGUUUAAGUUUAUAUUUCUUGGGAAAACAGUGCAAAGGAAGGUGUUUAAUUUCUCAGUAUUACUAUGAUUCAUUAUAUUUGCUCUCUUUUUUCUGUCUGAGUGGUCAUCAAUUAAUUUGUGUAAAUACUGCAUAUUUUCUCUUGUGUUACUAAUUGAUCGAUUUGAUGAAGUUUUGUGACUUUAAAGGUUUCAGGAAAUCUUUCAAAUAUUCUACAGAAUUUAGUGUAAGUGAAAUACUUUCCAUCAACUUUGGUGUUAUUUGGCAGCAUUAUAAAGUCAGAAACGAUAUCAGGAUCACCUGCUAUGGCCCUUUCAGAAGUAGUGGUCAGGGCAAGUGCUAGCAUUAGUACUGCAAAAUAAUUCAUCAAGGCCAUGGUUAAUGUGCUGAAGAGGUUCUUGUUGCCAGCUUCUGUUAAGCCAAUCUUGCAUGGUCUCAUUCAUGGUCUUGAUGCACUGUUCAGCUGUGUCAUACCUAUUAUUCUGCUCAUCAUCUUCGGAAUCACUAUCUUCUUACAUAUUGUGGAGGUGAUUAAAUCUUUUACUUAGUUUGAAUGAUGAUCUUUAUUAAUUUUAUGCUUCAAGAAUUCUAUCUUCAUCCCAUUAGAAGUUAAAACAAAGUUCAGAUAAAAUAGAAGAAAACGAAAAUAACAGUAUCUGACUAUCGCUUAGGAAUCAUGCCACCAUCUUCUCAGUUGUACAAUGUACUUUAUUCAUCUUCAGGUACAGGGCAUAAGAGAUAUAUGUUACCGUACCCUUAUUGUUAAUAUGACUUGCAAACAUUAAUCUGAUACAUAGAUUUGAACACUAAAAUAGCAACUAUGAAGCAAAUUACUAGUACUGCAUUUCUCUAAUCAUUUUAUAGUCAUGUAUAUACAUUUGAAACAAAUGACUUUAAUUGAUGUGUGAGCUUAAAAAGUUAUAGCAGCAAGGUCUGUUGGUUGUUAACGUAGUCCUUAGAUGAUCUAUUCCCUUCUGUGCAUAUCUGUAAAACCUUCAUGGAUUGCAAAAAUCCAGGUAAUAAAAACUUCAUGAAAGAGGUUGUGUCGAUGGUUGUUCUUGAGCAACAGUGGACAAGUGAGUUAUUGCAGUCAAAUGCAUUGCAUGAAGGUUUACAUGAAGAAGAAAUUAAUGAUGGAUCGGUAGAAGAUAUUGCCAUUAUCCAAAGUUGUUAGGGAAGCUGCUGUAAGCAUUGUUCCCACACUUAGAAUGAUGGUCUUUCUUAAUUUUUAGCUACCCUAUUAAGUGCUUGAAACUAUUAGGUUCUGUCUUCUGAAUUUGAAACUAUUGAACUUGAAACUAUUUUCUCUGUGUUGUUUGCAGUAGUGUAUGGAUUGCUGAAGCAUUGGGGUUGCAUGUAGAAGAGGAGAAGUGGCUGCAUCAUGAACAACUUGAGGUAAGCAUUUGGAAGCCAUGCACACUAUUUUCAUGUAUUUACAUGAUUGCAUGUCAACUAUUUACAUGUUAAUCUACAUUUUUAUCCAUAUGUGCUAUUAAGUACUAUAAUUGUUUUUUUUUUUUUAUGGAAAAUGUUUGGCUAAAGGCUUGCUGUUCUUGGCUUAAUGAUCCUAAUUAUAAGCAUGGUUUUCAUUUUCAAAGCACUGGCUAAGUAGAUCAUCAAAACCGUCAAGGUAGCUGGCCUCUAAAGUAUUCUUGUAUUCCUGGGAUCCCUGGAACUUCAGCAGAUACUCAUUUUCCUUAACUGCAGAUUGAUCCUUAAGACCCAUGACCUUGUCUUUAAGCCCUUGGAUUACCAGUUCCAAAUCCUCUUUUCGCUUACAUUCCUUGACUUUAAAACUUUCAAGAUGCUUGAUUUUUUCCGCCAUCCGGCUAGUUUCCUCUUCUUUUUCCUUCAGUCUUUUUUGACAACUCGCCAGCUUGGCCAUUUCUUUCUUCCCUUGGUCCAACUGAGUCCUAGUCUCCACGAGCUCUUUGUUAGCCUCAGAAACCAGAGAAUCCAGCUCACGAAUCCUACCUGCCAUUCUGUCAAUUAUGAGGUGAACCUUCACUCCGACCUGCAACGUUAGAAGAAACUUAAAAUUCCCAUGUCAGCGAACCAAACUUUAUAUACCAACAACAACAAAAAAGAAGAAGAAAAUAAUUGACAACCUUGAGCAUCAAACCCUUAGCUCCAUCCAACAGGAAGUCAAGCUUGCCCUCGAGCUCUUUCUCCCCAAAUUCAGCCAUGAAGGACUUGGAAUCAACUAUUUCGACCACGUCUUCAAUGUAAGCGAAAAGAAAGUCUGGGACCCCAAUCAUGCGUAAGUGUGCCGGAGAAUCCCCAUGUUUUCGAGACUCUCUCCGAGCAUCCAUCAUGAACCCUUCCUC